GGUCUUCCAAAUACCAUAAGAAACUAAUUUCAGCAACUUCAACAGCAAUCUAAAAGUUGUUCCAAUACAGCAGAUCGUUUCUAAGGCUCAAAAGCGUACGAAACAUUACUAUAUUUAUAUCCAAACACAAACUCCAACUAGAACUCCAAAAAGCACAAGGUCUCUUGAAGAAAGUAACCGCUUGACUACCACAAUGUAGAAGGACAUCAGUAAAGGGUGCAAAUGCAGAAGCCAAAGUAGAUAGCAAUCAAAAUCAUCAAACCAGACUUAAAAACAUCUGCAUUCAUCCAGAACCACUAAAAGCAGCUGCACCAAGCUGUCAAAACACCUCAGUAAUAUGAAUGCAUCCCCUGGUACAUACCCCCAGGUGCAACUCUAGGUGCAGCUGAUGCCCCAGGGCCUUGGUUUUGUAGCCCGUGAGGUUGAUGUAAAGGACCGUAAUGAGAACCCUGUGGUGGAUAAUCUCCCGAGGGCAUCCCGGCUGAGCUUGGGGGUAACCCAUACAUUGAAGAUCCACGGCCAGCACCACCUAAUGUACUACCAGCGCCAGGUAAUCCACCAGCAGCACCUCCCACUGCCCCAGCACCGCCAUAACCACUACCGGUCAACCCGCCAUAUCCAGCUGAACCAGCUCCACCAUAAUGAGACCCCCCACCAUAUGGACCACCAAUCCCUGAACCGUACCCACCACCCACAGAUUGGUUCCCAUAAGAUGAACCACCAGGACCACCCACACCGAUACCAUUUCCACUACCCAAUGCCGAAUUGGGACCAUGUCCAUGCCCGCCAUAUGAAGAAUGACCUGAAAAUCCACCAUAACCACUAGGCGCACCAUAUUGCCCAGGACCCAUCGGAUCACCAUGUCCAUCUGUUUGAACCUGAGCUCCUCCUGGACCUCCUACACCAGGCUUUUUCUUCCCAUCAAUAGCCAGCUUACAGUUCAAUUGAUGCCCAUCAAUAUUCUUAACAGGAUCCACCAACGAAGACUGUGCUGCCUCCGCCGUCUUGUACACAAACAAAGCAUACCCUUUUGACUUCCCAGUGGCCUUAUCAAACCCUAACGGUCCUUCCUCUAUCUCCCCAUACAUCAAAAAAUGCUGUAAAAUCCUCUCGGAUUGCAUAUCAUACGGCACAUUAGAUACAUAAAUCUUCCUCAACGACACAUCCACUGGAUUAUUCGAACUCCCACCACCAGGGCCACCUUGAAUCCCAGCUGAAGCAAGCUGAGUAACCGUAACUCGGCCAUCAACGUGUUUACUCGGUUGCUUUAACGCAAGUAAAGCUCCAUCAACAUGCUUAAACGUAACAAAUCCAUAACCUUUGCUCUUCCCAGUAUUUUUAUCAAGAAUAACAACAGCUUCUUCUAACUCACCGAAUGUCCCAAAAAUUGACCUGAUUUUUUCAGUCGUAGUUUCCCAGCCAAGCCCACGAACAAAAAGCUUUCUUUUAGUAGGGUCACGAUCGACGAUUUCUCGAACUUGAUCAAGCACGUCGGGAUGACGAACGACAGCAUUUUGUAAGAUUUCUACCAUUUGUUCAGGUGUAACAGAUUCAAGAAUCUUCCGACCAUCUUCGAUCGAAAGCCUAUUCGCAACAGGAACGUCAGUGCCGACGCCGUUGUCCUCAAGCUUCCUCUUCUUCAUCUGGUCCAUUUUCUGGAGCUCAAAAACUCUACCG
RNAcentral lists this unclassified non-coding RNA (1677 nucleotides) under Hevea brasiliensis (rubber tree). Lineage: Eukaryota; Viridiplantae; Streptophyta; Magnoliopsida; Malpighiales; Euphorbiaceae. The record is from RNAcentral.